GACGAACGCUGGCGGCGUGCUUAACACAUGCAAGUCGAACGGAAAGGCCCUGCUUUUGUGGGGUGCUCGAGUGCCGAACGGGUGAGUAACACGUGAGUAACCUGCCCUUGACUUUGGGAUAACUUCAGGAAACUGUGGCUAAUACCGGAUAGGAGCUCCUGCUGCAUGGUGGGGGUUGGAAAGUUUCGGCGGUUGGGGAUUGACUCGCGGCUUAUCAGCUUGUUGGUGGGGGAGUGGCUUACCAUGGCUUUGACGGGUAGCCGGCCUGAGAGGGUGACCGGCCACAGUGGGACUGGGAUACGGCCCAGACUCCUACGGGAGGCAGCAGUGGGGAAUAGUGCACAAUGGGCGGAAGCCUGAUGCAGCAACGCCGCGUGCGGGAUGACGGCCUUCGGGUUGGAAACCGCUUUCGCCUGUGACGAAGCGUGAGUGACGGUAAUGGGUAAAGAAGCACCGGCUAACUACGUG
This 468-nucleotide ribosomal RNA is filed under the name uncultured bacterium. Its description in RNAcentral is "partial 16S ribosomal RNA". It matches the Rfam family "Bacterial small subunit ribosomal RNA", at positions 28 to 507 of the family's 1533-position model. The record is from RNAcentral.